This 465-nucleotide ribosomal RNA is filed under the name Vreelandella stevensii. Its description in RNAcentral is "partial 16S ribosomal RNA". It matches the Rfam family "Bacterial small subunit ribosomal RNA", at positions 338 to 795 of the family's 1533-position model. Lineage: Bacteria; Pseudomonadati; Pseudomonadota; Gammaproteobacteria; Oceanospirillales; Halomonadaceae. The record is from RNAcentral.
CCUACGGGAGGCAGCAGUGGGGAAUAUUGGACAAUGGGCGAAAGCCUGAUCCAGCCAUGCCGCGUGUGUGAAGAAGGCCUUCGGGUUGUAAAGCACUUUCAGUGGGGAAGAAAGCCUUGGGGCUAAUACCCUCGAGGAAGGACAUCACCCACAGAAGAAGCACCGGCUAACUCCGUGCCAGCAGCCGCGGUAAUACGGAGGGUGCGAGCGUUAAUCGGAAUUACUGGGCGUAAAGCGCGCGUAGGCGGUCUGAUAAGCCGGUUGUGAAAGCCCCGGGCUCAACCUGGGAACGGCAUCCGGAACUGUCAGGCUAGAGUGCAGGAGAGGAAGGUAGAAUUCCCGGUGUAGCAGUGAAAUGCGUAGAGAUCGGGAGGAAUACCAGUGGCGAAGGCGGCCUUCUGGACUGACACUGACGCUGAGGUGCGAAAGCGUGGGUAGCAAACAGGAUUAGAUACCCUGGUAGUC